RNAcentral lists this ribosomal RNA (520 nucleotides) under uncultured bacterium. Its description in RNAcentral is "partial 16S ribosomal RNA". It matches the Rfam family "Bacterial small subunit ribosomal RNA", at positions 28 to 523 of the family's 1533-position model. The record is from RNAcentral.
GACGAACGCUGGCGGCGUGCUUAACACAUGCAAGUCGAACGGAGAAUUUUAUUUCGGUGAAAUUCUUAGUGGCGAACGGGUGAGUAACGCGUAGACAACCUACCUCUCAGAUGGGGACAACAUCGCGAAAGCGGUGCUAAUACCGAAUGAUGUAACUUUUCUGCAUGGAAGAGUUACCAAAGGCGGCCUCUAUUUAUAAGCUGUCACUGAGAGAUGGGUCUGCGUCUGAUUAGCUAGUUGGCGGGGUAAUGGCCCACCAAGGCGACGAUCAGGAGCCGGUCUGAGAGGAUGAACGGCCACAUUGGGACUGAGACACGGCCCAAACUCCUACGGGAGGCAGCAGUGGGGAAUCUUCCGCAAUGGACGAAAGUCUGACGGAGCAACGCCGCGUGAGUGAAGAAGGUUUUCGGAUCGUAAAGCUCUGUUGUUUGAGACGAACGUGCAAUUUUUGAAUAAGGAAUUGUAAUGACGGUAUUAAACGAGAAAGCCACGGCUAACUACGUGCCAGCCGCCGCAGUAA